This 1126-nucleotide long non-coding RNA is filed under the name Felis catus (domestic cat). Its description in RNAcentral is "lncRNA (ENSFCAG00000051884.1)". Lineage: Eukaryota; Metazoa; Chordata; Mammalia; Carnivora; Felidae. The record is from RNAcentral.
UGUUGCGAGACCGACGGCCUUUCGUGUUGAAUCAAGACGCCUUCCACUCACAGAAGUGCUUCUGACCUAAGUGGAAAUUGAAUUCAGGCCCAGCAGCAGGCGCCAGGAGAGGUUUCCAUAGCAGCUUCCAAAUCGGACACCAAACUUCACUCAGCAGGUAAUUCUGUUCCCCCAGCGCGUGACUUGGGUGUCCCCGUGCCCGUCAAAACCACACCUCACGCAGAGUCCUCCUGCCUUAGAGCCCUACGCCUCCACGCUGGGCCCACCCUCUGCCUCCCUCUGCACCCUGCAUCCUUGCCAGGACGGGGGAGGCUGGCCGGCGGCCACAGCACAUUCCAGAAGGCCAAAUGCAAGGUCUUCCCUGGCUUCCGUGGUGUGCGCUUGGCAUUUUUCAACGACUUCUGUUGGCCAAUGUUCUUUAUGGUAGAACAGGAUGAGCUACAUCAUUUCUGGCUGUGCAAUUUGACAGCUGUCUGUAUGUGAUUUAUAUAUACAAGUGUGUCUAGAGAGAGCGACAUAUAUGUGCACAUGUGUGUGCCCAUGCGCACAAACGUAAUUUUGUGAUGACGGUUGUAUUUAUCCCUGUUUGCUUUACUUACUCCAUAAACUUCAUUAUAAAUUCAAAAAAGAAAAUUGGUCCAAAAUCCAAUCACACCGGCACAUUAACACUGAAUUUUUCAUAUUUCCUUUCUGUUGUUGUCACAGGACAUUGAUAGUUUUCCAUUUCUCCUUUUCCACGUUUCGUCACUUUUCUUGGCGUCCUACAGUUUGUAAAAGGUACAGAUGGCGGCCGCCAUGCUUGCGGGCGCUGAAGGACCCGGUCAAGCCCAAACCAGGUCCUGGGAGCCGUGGACAAGUCUGUCCCCUGGACAGACUGCAGACCCAAGCGCCGCUUCUGGGCGGCCCCAAACGGCCGCGGUCAUCCUUUGUUUCUGCUUCUUCGCCCACCUCGCUGAAUCUCCGUCAGUCUCCAGAGAAGUCUCCGUGCCUUCCCCAGUUCCACCAUCGCCCAAUGACGCGUCUGCAGGUGACACGCUGGCACGUUGUUAACAGGAACAGAGUUGACACCAACUUUUACUCUCCUCUCUCCUCCUCCGAAUCACCUGCCUUUCUCUCCCGGCCUUGA